CCUACGGGAGGCUGCAGUGAGGAAUAUUGGUCAAUGGACGAGAGUCUGAACCAGCCAAGUAGCGUGAAGGAUGACUGCCCUAUGGGUUGUAAACUUCUUUUAUAAAGGAAUAAAACGAGGCACGUGUGCCUUUUUGCAUGUACUUUAUGAAUAAGGAUCGGCUAACUCCGUGCCAGCAGCCGCGGUAAUACGGAGGAUCCGAGCGUUAUCCGGAUUUCUUGGGUUUAAAGGGAGCGUAGAUGGGUUGUUAAGUCAGUUGUGAAAGUUUGCGGCUCAACCGUAAAAUUGCAAUUGAUACUGGCAGUCUUGAGUACAGUUGAGGUAGGCGGAAUUCGUGGUGUAGCGGUGAAAUGCUUAGAUAUCACGAAGAACCCCGAUUGCGAAGGCAGCUUACUAAACUGUGACUGACAUUGAUGCUCGAAAGUGUGGGUAUCAAACAGGAUUAGAUACCCUGAUAGUC
RNAcentral lists this ribosomal RNA (460 nucleotides) under uncultured bacterium. RNAcentral describes it as "partial 16S ribosomal RNA". It matches the Rfam family "Bacterial small subunit ribosomal RNA", at positions 338 to 795 of the family's 1533-position model. The record is from RNAcentral.